Molecule: small RNA, 77 nt
Filed under: Epilithonimonas hungarica
Lineage: Bacteria; Pseudomonadati; Bacteroidota; Flavobacteriia; Flavobacteriales; Weeksellaceae
Description: Chryseobacterium hungaricum Flavo-1 RNA
Rfam family: Flavo-1 RNA
Source: RNAcentral
ACAUAGCCCUGAUGGGAACGGCAUCCUUUUUUGUUUUUUGGAAAACAAAAAAGAUAUAGUGAACAGCAGGUUGGAAA